This 468-nucleotide ribosomal RNA is filed under the name uncultured bacterium. Its description in RNAcentral is "partial 16S ribosomal RNA". It matches the Rfam family "Bacterial small subunit ribosomal RNA", at positions 28 to 523 of the family's 1533-position model. The record is from RNAcentral.
GAUGAACGCUGGCGGCGUGCCUAACACAUGCAAGUCGAGCGAUUUACUUCGGUAAAGAGCGGCGGACGGGUGAGUAACGCGUGGGUAACCUGCCCUGUACACACGGAUAACAUACCGAAAGGUAUGCUAAUACGAGAUAAUAUACUUUUAUCUCAUGGUAGAAGUAUCAAAGCUCUGGCGGUACAGGAUGGACCCGCGUCUGAUUAGCUAGUUGGUAAGGUAACGGCUUACCAAGGCGACGAUCAGUAGCCGACCUGAGAGGGUGAUCGGCCACAUUGGAACUGAGACACGGUCCAAGCUCCUACGGGAGGCCGCAGUGGGGAAUAUUGCACAAUGGGCGAAAGCCUGAUGCAGCAACGCCGCGUGAGCGAUGAAGGCCUUCGGGUCGUAAAGCUCUGUCCUCAAGGAAGAUAAUGACGGUACUUGAGGAGGAAGCCCCGGCUAACUACGUGCCAGCCGCCGCAGUAA